AUUGAACGCUGGCGGCAGGCUUAACACAUGCAAGUCGAGCGGGGUGAUGGUGCUUGCACUAUCACUUAGCGGCGGACGGGUGAGUAAUGCUUAGGAAUCUGCCUAUUAGUGGGGGACAACAUCUCGAAAGGGAUGCUAAUACCGCAUACGUCCUACGGGAGAAAGCAGGGGAUCACUUGUGACCUUGCGCUAAUAGAUGAGCCUAAGUCGGAUUAGCUAGUUGGUGGGGUAAAGGCCUACCAAGGCGACGAUCUGUAGCGGGUCUGAGAGGAUGAUCCGCCACACUGGGGCUGAGACACGGCCCAGACUCCUACGGGAGGCAGCAGUGGGGAAUAUUGGAAAAUGGGGGGAACCCUGAUCCAGCCAUGCCGCGUGUGUGAAGAAGGCCUUAUGGUUGUAAAGCACUUUAAGCGAGGAGGAGGCUCUUUUGGUUAAUACCCAAGAUGAGUGGACGUUACUCGCAGAAUAAGCACCGGCUAACUCUGUGCCAGCAGCCGCGGUAA
This 503-nucleotide ribosomal RNA is filed under the name uncultured bacterium. Its description in RNAcentral is "partial 16S ribosomal RNA". It matches the Rfam family "Bacterial small subunit ribosomal RNA", at positions 30 to 523 of the family's 1533-position model. The record is from RNAcentral.